RNAcentral lists this transfer RNA (76 nucleotides) under Sphaerodactylus townsendi. RNAcentral's name for it is "tRNA-Ala". The record is from RNAcentral. Lineage: Eukaryota; Metazoa; Chordata; Lepidosauria; Squamata; Sphaerodactylidae.
GGAGAGGCUGUGGCUAAGUGGUACAAGUGUCUGCUUGGCCUGCAAAAGAUCUCAGAUUCAAUCCCUGGUGUUUCCA